RNAcentral lists this transfer RNA (70 nucleotides) under marine eukaryotic metagenome. It matches the Rfam family "tRNA". From Rfam's summary of the family: Transfer RNA (tRNA) molecules are approximately 80 nucleotides in length. Their secondary structure includes four short double-helical elements and three loops (D, anti-codon, and T loops). The record is from RNAcentral.
AGGCAUGGCUCAACUGGAUAGAGCAUCUGACUUCGGAUCAGAGGGUUGUGGGUUCAAGUCCUACUGCCUG